GGGUAUGGANCUCAGUCGGUAGAGGGCUUGCCUUGUACUCAAGAGGCUCUGGGUCCCAUUCCCAGCACCA
Molecule: transfer RNA, 70 nt
Filed under: Neotoma lepida (desert woodrat)
Lineage: Eukaryota; Metazoa; Chordata; Mammalia; Rodentia; Cricetidae
Rfam family: tRNA
About the family: Transfer RNA (tRNA) molecules are approximately 80 nucleotides in length.
Source: Rfam by way of RNAcentral